This 205-nucleotide ribosomal RNA is filed under the name uncultured bacterium. RNAcentral's name for it is "partial 16S ribosomal RNA". It matches the Rfam family "Bacterial small subunit ribosomal RNA", at positions 1295 to 1500 of the family's 1533-position model. The record is from RNAcentral.
AGACUGCAGGCUGCAACCCGCCUGCACGAAGUCGGAAUGCUAGUAAUCGUAGGUCAGCAUACUACGGUGAAUACGUUCCCGGGCCUUGUACACACCGCCCGUCAAACCAUGAGAGUUGGCAACACCCGAAGUCGGUAGUCUAACCGCAAGGAGGACGCCGCCGAAGGUGGGGUUGAUGAUUAGGGUUAAGUCGUAACAAGGUAGC